AUGCAAGUCGAGCGGAGACAGCGAGUAGCAAUACGAACUGUUUUAGCGGCGGACGGGUGAGUAACGCGUGAGCAACCUGUCCCAAACAGGGGGAUAACGAACCGAAAGGUUCACUAAUACCGCAUAAGACCACAGAGUCACAUGGCUCAGGGGUCAAAGGAGAAAUCCGGUUUGGGGUGGGCUCGCGUCUGAUUAGCUAGUUGGUGGGGUAACGGCCUACCAAGGCGACGAUCAGUAGCCGACCUGAGAGGGUGAUCGGCCACAUUGGGACUGAGACACGGCCCAGACUCCUACGGGAGGCAGCAGUGGGGAAUUUUGGACAAUGGGCGCAAGCCUGAUCCAGCCAUGCCGCGUGCAGGAUGAAGGCCUUCGGGUUGUAAACUGCUUUUGUACGGAACGAAAAGGUGCCUUCUAAUAAAGGGCGCUCAUGACGGUACCGUAAGAAUAAGCACCGGCUAACUACGUGCCAGCAGCCGCGGUAAUACGUAGGGUGCGAGCGUUAAUCGGAAUUACUGGGCGUAAAGCGUGCGCAGGCGGUUUUGUAAGACAGAGGUGAAAUCCCCGGGCUCAACCUGGGAACUGCCUUUGUGACUGCAAGGCUGGAGUGCGGCAGAGGGGGAUGGAAUUCCGCGUGUAGCAGUGAAAUGCGUAGAUAUGCGGAGGAACACCGAUGGCGAAGGCAAUCCCCUGGGCCUGCACUGACGCUCAUGCACGAAAGCGUGG
This 723-nucleotide ribosomal RNA is filed under the name uncultured bacterium. Its description in RNAcentral is "bacterial SSU rRNA". It matches the Rfam family "Bacterial small subunit ribosomal RNA", at positions 55 to 764 of the family's 1533-position model. The record is from RNAcentral.